Molecule: ribosomal RNA, 483 nt
Filed under: uncultured bacterium
Lineage: Bacteria
Description: partial 16S ribosomal RNA
Rfam family: Bacterial small subunit ribosomal RNA
Source: RNAcentral
GACGAACGCUGGCGGCGUGCUUAACACAUGCAAGUCGAACGCUGAAGCUCAGCUUUUGUUGGGUGGAUGAGUGGCGAACGGGUGAGUAACACGUGAGUAACCUGCCCCCUUCUUUGGGAUAACGCCCGGAAACGGGUGCUAAUACUGGAUAUUCACUGGUCUUCGCAUGGGGGUUGGUGGAAAGGGUUUUUCUGGUGGGGGAUGGGCUCGCGGCCUAUCAGCUUGUUGGUGGGGUGAUGGCCUACCAAGGCUUUGACGGGUAGCCGGCCUGAGAGGGUGACCGGUCGCAUGGGGACUGAGAUACGGCCCAGACUCCGACGGGAGGCAGCAGUGGGGAAUAUGGCACAAUGGGCGCAAGCCUGAUGCAGCGACGCCGCGUGAGGGAUGGAGGCCUUCGGGUUGUGAACCUCUUUCGCUCAUGGUCAAGCCGCAACAAUGGUUGUGGUGAGGGUAGUGGGUAAAGAAGCGCCGGCUAACUACGUG